UACGAAGGGUGCAAGCGUUACUCGGAAUUACUGGGCGUAAAGCGUGCGUAGGUGGUUUGUUAAGUCUGUUGUGAAAGCCCCGGGCUCAACCUGGGAAUGGCAAUGGAUACUGGCAAGCUAGAGUGCGGGUAGAGGGUAGUGGAAUUCCCGGUGUAGCGGUGAAAUGCGUAGAUAUCAGGAGGAACACCUGUGGCGAAGGCAGGUCAGCUGGGCCGCAACUGACGCUGAGGCACGAAAGCGUGGGGAGCAAA
Molecule: ribosomal RNA, 251 nt
Filed under: uncultured bacterium
Lineage: Bacteria
Description: partial 16S ribosomal RNA
Rfam family: Bacterial small subunit ribosomal RNA
Source: RNAcentral